Molecule: ribosomal RNA, 497 nt
Filed under: uncultured bacterium
Lineage: Bacteria
Description: partial 16S ribosomal RNA
Rfam family: Bacterial small subunit ribosomal RNA
Source: RNAcentral
GAUGAACGCUGGCGGCGUGCCUAAUACAUGCAAGUCGAGCGAACAGAUGAGGAGCUUGCUCCUCUGACGUUAGCGGCGGACGGGUGAGUAACACGUGGAUAACCUACCUAUAAGACUGGGAUAACUUCGGGAAACCGGAGCUAAUACCGGAUAAUAUAUUGAACCGCAUGGUUCAAUAGUGGAAGACGGUUUUGCUGUCACUUCUAGAUGGAUCCGCGCCGCAUUAGCUAGUUGGUAAGGUAACGGCUUACCAAGGCAACGAUGCGUAGCCGACCUGAGAGGGUGAUCGGCCACACUGGAACUGAGACACGGUCCAGACUCCUACGGGAGGCAGCAGUAGGGAAUCUUCCGCAAUGGGCGAAAGCCUGACGGAGCAACGCCGCGUGAGUGAUGAAGGUCUUCGGAUCGUAAAACUCUGUUAUUAGGGAAGAACAAAUGUGUAAGUAACUAUGCACGUCUUGACGGUACCUAAUCAGAAAGCCACGGCUAACUACGUG